RNAcentral lists this ribosomal RNA (665 nucleotides) under Rhodophyta sp. ARS-2011. RNAcentral's name for it is "eukaryotic LSU rRNA". It matches the Rfam family "Eukaryotic large subunit ribosomal RNA", at positions 1264 to 1920 of the family's 3401-position model. Lineage: Eukaryota; Rhodophyta. RNAcentral also lists the same sequence under 1 other name. The record is from RNAcentral.
GAAUCCGCYAAGGAGUGUGUAACAACUCACCUGCCGAAUGAAUUAGCCCUGAAAAUGGAUGGCGCUCAAGCGGGAAGCCGACACCAUACCGUCUGAGCAAAGUGGUUUUUUCAGAUGAGUAGGAGGGCGUGGCGGUUGUAUCGAAGCGUACGUGCAAACGUACGUGGAACGGCCUCCAGUGCAGAUCUUGGUGUUAGUAGCAAAUAUUCAAAUGGGAACCUUGAAGAGCGAAGCGGGGAAGGGUUCCACGCGAACAUUGAUUGAGCGUGGGUGAGUCGUUCCUAAACCGCGUGGUAAUUGCUAAUUACUGGUGAAAGGGAAGCAGGUUGACAUUCCUGCACACGGAUGUGGAUGCGGUGACGCACCAUCAGGGACAAUAACGCCGGCGAGGGAUCUGGGCAGAGUUUUCUUUUCUGUUUAACCGUUCCCUGGUACUCUGUGGAAUCCGCUUGUCGGGAGAAACAGGUACAGAUGGGCAGAGCGCCGGGGCUUUUCCGGCGUCCAGAUCUCCUUCGACGGCCCUUGAAACACUGUCUGCUGGCAAAUUGGACGUCAGUCCUUUUUGUGGGAAAAAUUCCACGCCGUAACGUACCCAUAACCGCAUCAGGUCCCCAAGGUGAACAGCCUCUGCUCAAUAUGAAAAAUGCAGGUAAGGGAAGUCGGCA